CAAGUUGAUAUCUAAAGUUGGUCU
Molecule: microRNA, 24 nt
Filed under: Prunus persica (peach)
Lineage: Eukaryota; Viridiplantae; Streptophyta; Magnoliopsida; Rosales; Rosaceae
Description: microRNA miRNA_53
Source: RNAcentral